CGGGUGAGUAACACGUGGGCAACCUGCCUAUAAGACUGGGAUAACUUCGGGAAACCGGAGCUAAUACCGGAUACGUUCUUUUCUCGCAUGAGAGAAGAUGGAAAGACGGUUUCGGCUGUCACUUAUAGAUGGGCCCGCGGCGCAUUAGCUAGUUGGUGAGGUAAUGGCUCACCAAGGCGACGAUGCGUAGCCGACCUGAGAGGGUGAUCGGCCACACUGGGACUGAGACACGGCCCAGACUCCUACGGGAGGCAGCAGUAGGGAAUCUUCCGCAAUGGACGAAAGUCUGACGGAGCAACGCCGCGUGAACGAAGAAGGCCUUCGGGUCGUAAAGUUCUGUUGUUAGGGAAGAACAAGUACCAGAGUAACUGCUGGUACCUUGACGGUACCUAACCAGAAAGCCACGGCUAACUACGUGCCAGCAGCCGCGGUAAUACGUANGUGGCAAGCGUUGUCCGGAAUUAUUGGGCGUAAAGCGCGCGCAGGUGGNUCCUUAAGUCUGAUGUGAAAGCCCACGGCUCAACCGUGGA
RNAcentral lists this ribosomal RNA (530 nucleotides) under Bacillus sp. C2. Its description in RNAcentral is "bacterial SSU rRNA". It matches the Rfam family "Bacterial small subunit ribosomal RNA", at positions 103 to 619 of the family's 1533-position model. The record is from RNAcentral. Lineage: Bacteria; Bacillati; Bacillota; Bacilli; Caryophanales; Bacillaceae.